Molecule: ribosomal RNA, 206 nt
Filed under: uncultured bacterium
Lineage: Bacteria
Description: partial 16S ribosomal RNA
Rfam family: Bacterial small subunit ribosomal RNA
Source: RNAcentral
AGCGCAGACGGUUAUUUAAGUCUGAAGUGAAAGCCCUCAGCUCAACUGAGGAAUGGCUUUGGAAACUGGAUGACUUGAGUGCAGUAGAGGAAAGUGGAGCUCCAUGUGUAGCGGUGAAAUGCGUAGAUAUAUGGAAGAACACCAGUGGCGAAGGCGGCUUUCUGGACUGUAACUGACGUUGAGGCUCGAAAGUGUGGUAGCGAACA